RNAcentral lists this long non-coding RNA (935 nucleotides) under Rattus norvegicus (Norway rat). RNAcentral's name for it is "long non-coding RNA NONRATT007245". Lineage: Eukaryota; Metazoa; Chordata; Mammalia; Rodentia; Muridae. The record is from RNAcentral.
GCCUUGCCGUGAAUACAAUGUCUCCACUUCCGUUCACAUUUAUCUAUUGGUUGAGGCUAGAUGGGGGGUGGGGAGAAGCAUGAAGGACAGGAUCGGAGGAAUUGGGAACACUGGCAGAUCAGUAAGGCAAUCGAUGCAAGCUAAACAAAUUAGGAAAAAGCAAAGAAAUAAAAAUAUAGUUUACAAAGGUAUUAUGUUUGAUGGAGCAAAUGACAGGCCCUAUUUGAACACCAACUGAGAUUUGAUAUCUUAAAAAACAAAAACAGAAAACGUAAUCUUGAGCCUGGAGUUUCGGGGCACAUUCCACCCUCUUCGCUGUUCUUUUCCCCUUUAAGUAAGGAUUUCUUUGCCAAUGGAUAUUUUUAUCCUAAGGAUUUAGCACCAAGGAUUUAUGUAUGGAAUUACCUAGUAGGUCAUUUUUACACUUAAGCCAUUUCUCAUGACCCAGCACAUCGCCUGACUGUAGGCUUUUUACAUCUUACAGCUAAAUCAGACGUCGAGACACAAAAAUAACCUUUGUCGAAUGCUCGGGAACGUAAUCGCUCAGCAGCCCGAGUAACAAACGAUGCUACGCAGAGUCAUGUAGACGCCAGUGUUCUCUGCGUGCCCUGAUUGAUCGGCGAUGUUUAGUGCAUCAUGGCCAUCACGGUUAUUGAUGUGUAUAGAGAACCUCAGAGACUCACAACACAGUAGACAUUUGUAAGAAUAUUUGUGGCGCCUCGGUUCGUAGACGCAUCAUUUCUGUGGAAGAAAAUCAAUCAAUGUACCAUUACGUAUGCUAUAGCAGACUUACAAAGGGUCUUUGUUCCUGCCCGUCUUUGAAUGACAGGCCUGAAAAGGUGCUAUUGUUUAUGUCCCCAAGCCCUCUAAACAAGUCACCUGCAAAAUGUGUUCUCCUCCUUUCUAUAGAAUAAAAUAACAGCUUUGUUUCUGGU